UGGUGGAGUGAUUUGUCUGCUUAAUUGCGAUAACGAACGAGACCUUAACCUGCUAAAUAGUCAGGCCAGCUUUGGCUGGUCGCAGGCUUCUUAGAGGGACUAUCGGCUCAAGCCGAUGGAAGUUUGAGGCAAUAACA
Molecule: ribosomal RNA, 137 nt
Filed under: uncultured eukaryote
Lineage: Eukaryota
Description: partial 18S ribosomal RNA
Rfam family: Eukaryotic small subunit ribosomal RNA
Source: RNAcentral